RNAcentral lists this ribosomal RNA (388 nucleotides) under uncultured bacterium. RNAcentral's name for it is "bacterial SSU rRNA". It matches the Rfam family "Bacterial small subunit ribosomal RNA", at positions 30 to 417 of the family's 1533-position model. The record is from RNAcentral.
AUUGAACGCUGGCGGCAUGCCUUACACAUGCAAGUCGAACGGCAGCACGGGAGCAAUCCUGGUGGCGAGUGGCGAACGGGUGAGUAAUAUAUCGGAACGUGCCCAGUCGUGGGGGAUAACGUAGCGAAAGCUACGCUAAUACCGCAUACGAUCUAUGGAUGAAAGCGGGGGGAUCGCAAGACCUCGCGCGAUUGGAGCGGCCGAUAUCAGAUUAGGUAGUUGGUGAGGUAAAGGCUCACCAAGCCGACGAUCUGUAGCUGGUCUGAGAGGACGACCAGCCACACUGGGACUGAGACACGGCCCAGACUCCUACGGGAGGCAGCAGUGGGGAAUUUUGGACAAUGGGCGCAAGCCUGAUCCAGCAAUGCCGCGUGCAGGAUGAAGGCCU